RNAcentral lists this ribosomal RNA (526 nucleotides) under uncultured bacterium. RNAcentral describes it as "bacterial SSU rRNA". It matches the Rfam family "Bacterial small subunit ribosomal RNA", at positions 984 to 1509 of the family's 1533-position model. The record is from RNAcentral.
ACAUCCAGCGAACUUGGCAGAGAUGCCUUGGUGCCUUCGGGAACGCUGAGACAGGUGCUGCAUGGCUGUCGUCAGCUCGUGUUGUGAAAUGUUGGGUUAAGUCCCGNAACGAGCGCAACCCUUAUCCUUUGUUGCCAGCGAUUCGGUCGGGAACUCAAAGGAGACUGCCGGUGAUAAACCGGAGGAAGGUGGGGAUGACGUCAAGUCAUCAUGGCCCUUACGAGUAGGGCUACACACGUGCUACAAUGGCGCAUACAAAGAGAAGCGACCUCGCGAGAGCAAGCGGACCUCAUAAAAGUGCGUCGUAGUCCGGAUCGGAGUCUGCAACUCGACUCCGUGAAGUCGGAAUCGCUAGUAAUCGUGGAUCAGAAUGCCACGGUGAAUACGUUCCCGGGCCUUGUACACACCGCCCGUCACACCAUGGGAGUGGGUUGCAAAAGAAGUAGGUAGCUUAACCUUCGGGAGGGCGCUUACCACUUUGUGAUUCAUGACUGGGGUGAAGUCGUAACAAGGUAAGCGUAGCGAG